GAUGAACGCUGGCGGCGUGCCUAACACAUGCAAGUCGAACGAUGAAGCCGGAGCUUGCUCUGGUGAAUUAGUGGCGAACGGGUGAGUAACACGUGAGUAACCUGCCCUUGACUCUGGGAUAACUGCGGGAAACUGUAGCUAAUACCGGAUACGACCCUCGGAGGCAUCUCCUGGGGGUGGAAAGAAUUUCGGUCAAGGAUGGACUCGCGGCCUAUCAGCUAGUUGGUGAGGUAAAGGCUCACCAAGGCGACGACGGGUAGCCGGCCUGAGAGGGUGACCGGCCACACUGGGACUGAGACACGGCCCAGACUCCUACGGGAGGAAGCAGUGGGGAAUAUUGCACAAUGGGCGCAAGCCUGAUGCAGCAACGCCGCGUGAGGGAUGACGGCCUUCGGGUUGUAAACCUCUUUUAGCAGGGAAGAAGCGAAAGUGACGGUACCUGCAGAAAAAGCACCGGCUAACUACGUGCCAGCCGCCGCCGUAA
RNAcentral lists this ribosomal RNA (484 nucleotides) under uncultured bacterium. Its description in RNAcentral is "partial 16S ribosomal RNA". It matches the Rfam family "Bacterial small subunit ribosomal RNA", at positions 28 to 523 of the family's 1533-position model. The record is from RNAcentral.